GAUGAACGCUGGCGGCGUGCCUAAUACAUGCAAGUCGAGCGAACAGAUAAGGAGCUUGCUCCUUUGACGUUAGCGGCGGACGGGUGAGUAACACGUGGGUAACCUACCUAUAAGACUGGGAUAACUUCGGGAAACCGGAGCUAAUACCGGAUAACAUUUGGAACCGCAUGGUUCUAAAGUGAAAGAUGGUUUUGCUAUCACUUAUAGAUGGACCCGCGCCGUAUUAGCUAGUUGGUAAGGUAACGGCUUACCAAGGCGACGAUACGUAGCCGACCUGAGAGGGUGGUCGGCCACACUGGAACUGAGACACGGUCCAGACUCCUACGGGAGGCAGCAGUAGGGAAUCUUCCGCAAUGGGCGAAAGCCUGACGGAGCAACGCCGCGUGAGUGAUGAAGGGUUUCGGCUCGUAAAACUCUGUUAUUAGGGAAGAACAGAUGUGUAAGGAACUGUGCACGUCUUGACGGUACCUAAUCAGAAAGCCACGGCUAACUACGUG
This 497-nucleotide ribosomal RNA is filed under the name uncultured bacterium. RNAcentral describes it as "partial 16S ribosomal RNA". It matches the Rfam family "Bacterial small subunit ribosomal RNA", at positions 28 to 507 of the family's 1533-position model. The record is from RNAcentral.